Molecule: ribosomal RNA, 1124 nt
Filed under: uncultured bacterium
Lineage: Bacteria
Description: bacterial SSU rRNA
Rfam family: Bacterial small subunit ribosomal RNA
Source: RNAcentral
GUUGAUUUUAUGCUUGCAUAAAUGAUUUUUUGGAUUCGGAGCGAGUGGCGAACUGGUGAGUAACACGUGGGUAACCUGCCCCGAAGCGGGGGAUAACAUUUGGAAACAAGUGCUAAUACCGCAUAAUUAGUUGGAACCGCAUGGUUCCAACUUGAAAGAUGGCUCUACUAUCACUUUGGGAUGGACCCGCGCCGUAUUAGUUAGUUGGUGAGAUAAAAGCCCACCAAGACGAUGAUACGUAGCCGACCUGAGAGGGUAAUCGGCCACAUUGGGACUGAGACACGGCCCAGACUCCUACGGGAGGCAGCAGUAGGGAAUCUUCCACAAUGGACGAAAGUCUGAUGGAGCAACGCCGCGUGAGUGAUGAAGGUUUUCGGAUCGUAAAACUCUGUUGUUAAAGAAGAACAAGUGUUAGAGUAACUGUUAACACUUUGACGGUAUUUAACCAGAAAGCCACGGCUAACUACGUGCCAGCAGCCGCGGUAAUACGUAGGUGGCAAGCGUUGUCCGGAUUUAUUGGGCGUAAAGCGAGCGCAGGCGGUUUUGUAAGUCUGCCGUGAAAGCCCUCAGCUCAACUGAGGAAGUGCAGUGGAAACUACAAAACUUGAGUACAGAAGAGGAAAGUGGAACUCCAUGUGUAGCGGUGAAAUGCGUAGAUAUAUGGAAGAACACCGGUGGCGAAGGCGGCUUUCUGGUCUGUUACUGACGCUGAGGCUCGAAAGCAUGGGUAGCGAACAGGAUUAGAUACCCUGGUAGUCCAUGCCGUAAACGAUGAAUACUAGGUGUUGGAGGGUUUCCGCCCUUCAGUGCCGCAGCUAACGCAUUAAGUAUUCCGCCUGGGGAGUACGACCGCAAGGUUGAAACUCAAAGGAAUUGACGGGGGCCCGCACAAGUGGUGGAGCAUGUGGUUUAAUUCGAUGCUACGCGAAGAACCUUACCAGCUCUUGACAUCUUCUGCCAACCCAAGAGAUUGGGCGUUCCCUUCGGGGACAGAAUGACAGGUGGUGCAUGGUUGUCGUCAGCUCGUGUCGUGAGAUGUUGGGUUAAGUCCCGCAACGGGCGCAACCCUUAUUAUUAGUUGCCAGCAUUUAGUUGGGCACUCUAGUGAGACUGCCGGUGAUAAA